GGCUAGAAACAAGGAAAGAGCUACGAUUUUGGGAGGAGAAAAAGGCAGCCCAAAACGUUACCAAACAGUCCCUAAGUUUCAGCUGCGCUAAAGGAAAUUCCGAGGCAAGUUUUGGCGAGUUUUGGUGAAUUUCGGGAAAGGUUCAAGAGACGACGAGGCGAGCAUAGUUAAGAGUAAUCCGUAAGAGGUACAGAUGAUUGGUUUGCUGAUCCGCUUGCUUAGGACAUCCACCAUGUUGGUCGACAGUGCUCCUUUGUCCGGAGCCCUAUUUUGG
This is a long non-coding RNA of Solanum dulcamara, 274 nucleotides long. RefSeq lists it as uncharacterized. The transcript is spliced from 4 exons. The record is from RefSeq and is a predicted model, not a curated record. Lineage: Eukaryota; Viridiplantae; Streptophyta; Magnoliopsida; Solanales; Solanaceae.